AAGAGCGCAGUACAACGGGGAGUUGUAUGCUGCGUUCGGGAAGGAUGAAUCGCUCCCGAAAAGGGAGUCUAUUGAUUCUCUCCCCAAUUGGUUGGAUCGUAGAGCGCAGUACAAGGGGCGAUGAUUUACUUCAC
Molecule: non-coding RNA, 134 nt
Organism: Triticum aestivum (bread wheat)
Lineage: Eukaryota; Viridiplantae; Streptophyta; Magnoliopsida; Poales; Poaceae
Source: Rfam